Molecule: ribosomal RNA, 394 nt
Filed under: uncultured bacterium
Lineage: Bacteria
Description: bacterial SSU rRNA
Rfam family: Bacterial small subunit ribosomal RNA
Source: RNAcentral
GAACGCCCCGCAAGGGGAGUGGCAGACGGGUGAGUAACGCGUGGGAACGUGCCCUUCGCUUCGGAAUAGUCCCGGGAAACUGGGUUUAAUACCGGAUACGCCGUAUUGGGAAAGAUUUAUCGGCGAAGGAUCGGCCCGCGUUGGAUUAGCUAGUUGGCGGUGUAAUGGACCACCAAGGCUACGAUCCAUAGCUGGUCUGAGAGGAUGAUCAGCCACACUGGGACUGAGACACGGUCCAGACUCCUACGGGAGGCAGCAGUGGGGAAUUUUGCGCAAUGGGGGAAACCCUGACGCAGCAACGCCGCGUGGAGGAUGAAGCCCUUUGGGGCGUAAACUCCUUUCGACCGGGACGAUUAUGACGGUACCGGUGGAAGAAGCACCGGCUAACUCUGUG